Molecule: long non-coding RNA, 2793 nt
Organism: Hipposideros armiger (great roundleaf bat)
Lineage: Eukaryota; Metazoa; Chordata; Mammalia; Chiroptera; Hipposideridae
Exons: 9
Source: RefSeq, a predicted model, not a curated record
GCGGUCGCUGGCGCCCAGAGGCGGCCUCCUUGGGCUUCGGAGCGCGCAGUCGCAGUUGGCAGAUGCGGCCGACCCAAGACGAGGUUGCUGAAGGCCGGCAGGGGGCGCACCAGCUCGCCGACCGCCUGGGCCGCCCUCCCUGCGCAGGGUCAGGACAUGAAGAUGAUAAGUGUUGGUCCUCUCCCAAACAACUUGAGAGAUAAGGAAGAACACAUGAGCUGUGCACCCCUCAUCUGAACUAUGCAGAUAGAUGCUUUCACCCAUGAAGAAAGUAUCAAGACUUCUGCUCUGCCUUGGAUAAGAGGCAGGAUUUGGCCUUUCACAAGUUCCUGUCCACAUUCUCUCUCGGAAGCACAGCGAGUCCCUGUACACAGGAUUCCAUGUCAACCGGGUGGAAUCAACACUUGGUGACAGUGCCAGGAGCAGACAGCUUUGGAGAACUAAAUGGCAGAGCACCUCAGUGAACCAGUAUAUGAGUGAACUGGGCAAGUGUCCACUCGGACCGGAAAGGGAUGACUGCUGUGACCGGACCAUCAGAGAUUUGACCUGGCCGCACAUCCGUACUUUGGAACAGCUAUUAGGGAAGAGAUACUUUAUUUCCACAGGCAUGGCUAAGCUGGUAGGAUGAAGCCUGGAGCUCCUGGCAGCCAUCGUGCCACGAUGAAACCAAAAUGAACUCAGGAAGUUGAAGCUGGGAAAAAAAAAAAUUGAAGUUCUUCAUAAUGCUGAACGCUAAGAUCCAGCCACGCCUGGAGCUGUCCCCGGAAUUUUCAGUUAUAUGGACCAGUAAACUCUUACUUUUUGCUCUCACCAUUUUUUGACACGGCUGCUGGAGGAGUCCCCUGGCUGAUGCUCUUGGUUUUUCUAGGAGCAGGAGCAAUCUCAGCCUUGCAGGAGGCCCUGGAGAAGACCGUCAUUCCACUUUGUCAAUAUAAAAGCUGUCUGCUAGGCCCUGGGGGCCCAGCAAAAAAUCAGCCCCCUUCUCGACCCCAGAUCUCUAUCUCACUUAGUGACUUUAGUGGGGCCAGCAUUUCCAGUGCCUCCUAGAAGGGCAUUUCAGGCGUUCAUUUGCCAGGGACCUGCCUCUGGAGAGUCCUGGAGGAAAAGAUCUCACAGUCGGAAGUCGAGCAUCCGUUCCUCAGAAACUCCUUUGGGGUGUGUGUGGAUGAGGUCCGUCCUCCAUGCUUGAGGCUGACCACUGGAUGCUCAGGCUCUGUGUGGUGCAAACAGACAGUGAGAAUGAGAGAAAGGCGGUAGGACUGGCCUUCUCCCCCAGGGUUUCCUUCUGCCACAGCAGUUACGCUGAUGAAACAUAUGCCGAUGUAGACUAGCAGAUCUGCAACCUUUGGAGUCUAAGCACUGUGGAGAAACACUGGGUUUAGAAACAUUUUAUUUCACCUGUGGCACAUGCAAAAAACCCAAAUGAUACAGAUGCCGCAAAAUGCCUGGUGAGAGAACUGAGGCAUGGGCUGGUUAAAAGAUGCACCCAAGGGCAUGCAGCUAUUAGAGGCAGAGGCUGGAUUUAAAUCUGGACGGUCUAGCUGCAAAGUUACUUUGAGGCCAAAAAGGGGACUCAUUCCUGUCCAUUGAUAAGACAGAAGCUUUACGAGUGCAGAACAGGUUAAUAAUCGGCUAAUUCCGUGCCUGCCAGUGGGAGACAAGUGACGGACCCUUAACCUGGUUUCGAGGUCAAGUUCUUCCUUAAUGGAACCCUGGGAAGAUGAAGGUUCUUAGUUCUAAGAAUGACAAGAUGGACAAACACGCACUUUUAAUACACGGUGGGGGCAUGCCUGGCUCUCUAGACACCUACAAGACCACCCAGAGAUGUAAAUCCAGUGGAGUUGCAUUGUACAAGUAUGUGUGUUUAACUCAUGGCAAAUGAACUAUGCAUGGUGUUCUAAAAGGAAAAAACAGCUGUUUAAAUGGAGCCGGAGAUCCUGGCCCCCACCUGGCUCGGUGCUCAGGAGCCUGGAUGGAUCUGUGACUCCUGUUCCUUCUAUGUGAGCUCAGAGCGUGCGCCCAAUGUGUGAACAUAUGGCUAAUGGCUUCAGGUGGUGCUCAACCCAAGGAAUGUUAUCUAUCCAGCACUGGAGGGAACACGGGCUCUCCUGGGCUGAUGAAGGCAGCAUGUGUGAGUCUCUAACGGGGUACCCUCCUGUGGGUGCUUCCAAAAUUAGUUCUGAUGAUACUCAAAGCUCACCUUGUGCCUUGGCAUUAUAACCGCACCCCCGUGUGAGAUGAAGCCCCACUGAAUGUCAUUUGUCAUCUUUGUGGCUGACAACACUUGUCUCCCUCAACACCCAAGCUUUGUCAUGGUCAACUGGUUUUGCGGCUAAGGAAAUUCCCCUGAAUUCCACUGAGCAUCGAUAUGUAACCAUGAACUUGACUAUGCGGCGAGAAGGAAGAGGAAUCUUGGGAGAGGGAGAAAGUGUGCCAACGUUUGGCAAAGAGUGUUCUGCUGACCACCUGUAUCUACACCCCAGGAUGGGAGUAGGGAGGUGGAAAAUGCAGUCUCAGGCCCCACUUAUGACAUACGAGUUGGAAUCCAUUGAAAUAGGGCUUGGAUGUCAACUUCCUCUAAACCUCCCCAGGUUGAAACCUCACCAUACCACCCUCCAUAAAAAUCAAUUCUGGAGGUGGCCACAAGGCAAGUGCCAUCUGCUGGCCUUUGUUACUGAGUGUCCCAGAAAGGACAUGUUGGCUCAGAAGCGGUGUGGUGUUGUGGUGAAGAACUCAGUUGCCAGAGCCGGAUAUCCCAGGCUUAAACCCUGCCUUUACCACUAGUUGGGACAC